CGUAAUACAUAUCAAUCUGCCAUGGGAAAGCAAGCUAUGGGAAUUUAAGUCACUAACUAUCAGUUCUGAAUGGGUACACUGGCUCAUGUUCAGUACUACCCUCAGAAGCCGCUUGUCAUUACACGAGCCAUGGAGCAUCUUCACUUCAGGCAACUUCCAGCUGGAAUUGGUUUGUGACAUGGUUCUUAUGAUAAAUUGGAUGAUGAUGGUCUUGCACCUCCUGGUGAGGAUGUUAUCAUAAGGAAGACCACUCUCAUUGCUCCUAAGGAGGCUCAGCAGCAAGCUUCUUCGUGUUACUCACGACGUGACCAUUGUAUAAGCUUAUGGCAUAGUGAAACCGGGAUUAUGGACCAGGGCAAAGUUUGUGUGAGCUUUAAGUUUCACAUCAGUUUUUGGAUAUGAGCAGUUUCAAGGUUACCUGAACUUGUGAUUGAAGAUAUUGGGAAUCAGAUUAAGCAACUGCAAACCUACAAGGUAUAGCUGCACCAGCUCCAGGACAGGCACAUCUUUUACUUCCUGCUAAUUCUCCUCAAUUCACCAGCAGUUCUGAUAAAACUGCAGGAUAAGUGGUAAAUCAGAAAGGUCACAUCUUGAGGUAGAGAUCAUCCCUGUGUUUAUUGCAUAUAUGUGCAUUAUAUUAUGGUUUUAUAUUAGUCUUUAUGGAGCAUGCAGGUAAUCCUUAGAUUUCAGCAGGACUAAGAGAAGCUACUGCUACUUAAGUAGCAGGUUCUAAGUCUAACCUUGUUCAAAGUUUGUUAGUACUGAUGGCAGUACAGGCAGCAAGGUCUCA
This 790-nucleotide long non-coding RNA is filed under the name Rosa chinensis. RNAcentral's name for it is "sRNA RchiOBHm_Chr1g0342961". The record is from RNAcentral. Lineage: Eukaryota; Viridiplantae; Streptophyta; Magnoliopsida; Rosales; Rosaceae.